Molecule: unclassified non-coding RNA, 264 nt
Filed under: Ascomycota sp.
Lineage: Eukaryota; Fungi; Ascomycota
Description: partial contains small subunit ribosomal RNA, internal transcribed spacer 1, and 5.8S ribosomal RNA
Rfam family: Eukaryotic small subunit ribosomal RNA (bases 1-47)
Source: RNAcentral
AAAGUCGUAACAAGGUUUCCGUAGGUGAACCUGCGGAAGGAUCAUUAUCGUAGGGGGCUAUGCCCCCGAAAGGAUGUAGGCCAGCCAGAAUUGUAGUGGCUACUUGGAUGGCUGGCCGUCCAUCAGCUCUAACCCUUGCCUAUGAGUACUAUUGUUUCCUCGGCAGGCUUGCCUGCCAAUGAGGACCCCAUCAACCCUUUUUAUAUUAUUGUAACCGUAACAAACAAAUAAUCAAAACUUUCAACAACGGAUCUCUUGGUUCUG